Molecule: long non-coding RNA, 1819 nt
Filed under: Olea europaea subsp. europaea
Lineage: Eukaryota; Viridiplantae; Streptophyta; Magnoliopsida; Lamiales; Oleaceae
Source: RNAcentral
GUGGAAUCCCGACCCUUCCCGAGACUUUAGAAACUAUACCCCUUGUUUUCGACAACUCUCGAUCACAUGUUAUAUGUCAUACCUUAAUCAACUCGAAGAGUUUGAUGAUUUCACUAGUCACCCUUGAAGAAUCCAGUCGCCUGUUCUUAGCACUAAAUCGAAAUUCUCUACUACUGACCAACCUCAAACUGAUGGUCAAAACGAAAUUGCUAACCGAAGUCUUGGCAAUUUAUUACGGUCUCUAGUCCAGAAAAAUCUUGAGAAUUGGGACUUGAUCUCCCCAACUGUUCACAUCGCAUAUAACAAUUCUAUGAAUCGGUCUCUAGGUCUAAAUCCAUUUGAAGUUGUUCAUAAUUAUAAGUCUAGGCGACCGUUAGAUCUUAUUCCCAAUUUGUAUAUCAUCUUCAUGACUUGCAUAUUGAGAUCAAUAAACAACACGAUGCAAGUAAUGCAUUAUAUAAAUUUCAAGCUGAUUCGCAUAAACGAUAUUUUAAAUUUAAUAUUGGGGAUUAUGUCAUAUUGCAAGCUUGUAGUGCUGGUCUUUUAAAAAUUUUAAAGCAUAUUGGUUCAAAUGCAUAUGUCAUUGCCCUUUCAUCACAUUUUGGCUACUACUCUGCUUUAAAUAUUAAGGACUUCAUUACUUACAAACACCAUGUUACUUCCUUUGAUGAUCUGUUUCUACUUAACUUUAUGGACUCCCAACUUGACUAUGUCGAUAUUUCUACUUCAAUACCAUCUAUCACAGCACACAAAGAUAAAAUUGAUGUUAUUUUAGAUGAACGUGUUGUAUUGACCAAUGAUGGCAAGAUACGGUACUUUCUUGUUUGUUGGGUGGAUCGACAUGCUUCUUAUUCUCCUCAUUAUAUACAAUCAUGUGAAAAUCUUGAAGAUGAGGUGCAUGAGUAUUGGUUAUUUGGAGUCCAGUAUCAGUACUUGGUUAGAAGGAAAGAUUGCCCCCCUGGUCAAAUCAUAUUCUUGGGAAUAAGCUACAGUUUUCAGUACUAUCAAUCAUGGAAUUUCUUUACUUGGUUUGUCAGAAAGAUUGUCCCCCGUGGCUUGACUUGAAGCAUUUGGAGUAUCAGAUUGACUGCAGUCUAUACUAUCUAUCACUCGACAGGGUCGAGUUUUUUUCCCACCCCGGGAGAGUUGAUGAGGAUAUCGGACGACGUUUUCUUAUUUUAUUUAAGCUUUAUUUAUUUUCUUGGACUAUUAUUUAAAUUUGGACUUGUAUGGGCUCGGGCCCAAGCUUGUUAGGGUUGCUUUACUAUUUAAACCUAUUUUGCAUUGUAAUUUUCAGUUGAUGAUGAAUGAAUAAUUAUUUUGGUGGUUUAUGGUGCAUCCCUCCUUUUAUUCUGCCCUCUUCUGUUAAAUUCUUCUUCUUUCCCCCCUUAAUUCCCCAUUCUUCUCUUUAAUUCCCUCUCCCUAUAGAUCUGUUCUAUUUCUCAAUUAAUUGUGUCAUUGGUGCUGCAUCAGUUUCUAGUUGAAUACCUUCAGAAAAUACGAAUAAGGGUGUUGUUUACUUGGUUUAAUUCUCUCCAUUUGUUUUUUACUUCCCUAUUCUUUUCUUUUUUAAUAUAAAAAAUGAAAAAUGAAAAAUGAAAAAGAUUUACUGUAGAAGGCAAAAUUUAUCUGUGCCUCAGAUUACUGAUAAUCCAUUCAAUGGGUUGUUUACCCUGGGGCCUGGUUCUCUUUUAAUUUGGAAAUAUUUGACUAAUUCUAGUUAGUUUUCCCAGAACUUGGGUCGAGAACUGUCAAUAUUGUGAUUGGAAUAUCGAAAGUGUGCGCACGAAUUUUAGUUCUUUUUUCUUUUCCAUUUUUC